Molecule: ribosomal RNA, 274 nt
Filed under: uncultured bacterium
Lineage: Bacteria
Description: partial 16S ribosomal RNA
Rfam family: Bacterial small subunit ribosomal RNA
Source: RNAcentral
AUACGGAGGGUGCAAGCGUUAAUCGGAAUUACUGGGCGUAAAGCGUACGUAGGCGGUCCGUUAAGUUAGAUGUGAAAGCCCCGGGCUUAACCUGGGAACUGCAUUUAAAACUGGCGAACUAGAGUUGAGUAGAGGGGAGUGGAAUUUCAGGUGUAGCGGUGAAAUGCGUAGAGAUCUGAAGGAACACCAGUGGCGAAGGCGGCUCCCUGGACUCAAACUGACGCUGAGGUACGAAAGCGUGGGUAGCAAACGGGAUUAGAAACCCGAGUAGUCC